Molecule: non-coding RNA, 285 nt
Organism: Dermacentor albipictus
Lineage: Eukaryota; Metazoa; Arthropoda; Arachnida; Ixodida; Ixodidae
Source: RefSeq, a predicted model, not a curated record
GUCGUGAGCCAUUCGGAACAGGUCUGCAUCGAAACGGGAGAUGGAUUUUGCUGCGGCUGACAACGGCAAUAACGACAUGCAGUAAUGAGGACGGCACCAGUAUAAAGCAACACACUCCACGCACUAAACAGAAGCUGCUGCCUGCUACAACAAGGUCAUUGUGUGGACAUUGGCUACUACUACAAGAGUCUAUGCCAAGCACAUCUUGGUCAUCACAGGAGCUCCUAUCUGCGCCAACAGAAAGGGGCUGGAGGCGAAUUUACAAGGCUUUUACACCAAGAACAA